RNAcentral lists this transfer RNA (81 nucleotides) under Mycobacteroides abscessus subsp. abscessus. RNAcentral describes it as "tRNA-???(aacc)". It matches the Rfam family "tRNA". Rfam says of the family: Transfer RNA (tRNA) molecules are approximately 80 nucleotides in length. Their secondary structure includes four short double-helical elements and three loops (D, anti-codon, and T loops). Further hydrogen bonds mediate the characteristic L-shaped molecular structure. tRNAs have two regions of fundamental functional importance: the anti-codon, which is responsible for specific mRNA codon recognition, and the 3' end, to which the tRNAs corresponding amino acid is attached (by aminoacyl-tRNA synthetases). tRNAs cope with the degeneracy of the genetic code in two manners: having more than one tRNA (with a specific anti-codon) for a particular amino acid; and 'wobble' base-pairing, i.e. permitting non-standard base-pairing at the 3rd anti-codon position. Lineage: Bacteria; Bacillati; Actinomycetota; Actinomycetes; Mycobacteriales; Mycobacteriaceae. The record is from RNAcentral.
GGGCCAGUGGCUGACUGGCAAGGCAACGGCGCGGUAACCAGCACGCGUCGCGUAUGCAGGUUCGAAUCCUGCCUGGCCCAC